GGGUUGUGAGGUUAAGCGACUAAGCGUACACGGUGGAUGCCCUGGCAGUCAGAGGCGAUGAAGGACGUGCUAAUCUGCGAAAAGCGUCGGUAAGGUGAUAUGAACCGUUAUAGCCGGCGAUGUCCGAAUGGGGAAACCCAGUGCAAUUCGUUGCACUAUCGUUAACUGAAUACAUAGGUUAACGAGGCGAACCGGGGGAACUGAAACAUCUAAGUACCCCGAGGAAAAGAAAUCAACCGAGAUUCCCCCAGUAGCGGCGAGCGAACGGGGAGCAGCCCAGAGUCUGAAUCAGCUUGUGUGUUAGUGGAACGGUCUGGAAAGUCCGACGGUACAGGGUGAUAGUCCCGUACACCAAAAUGCACAGGUUGUGAACUCGAAGAGUAGGGCGGGACACGUGGUAUCCUGUCUGAAUAUGGGGGGACCAUCCUCCAAGGCUAAAUACUCCUGACUGACCGAUAGUGAACCAGUACCGUGAGGGAAAGGCGAAAAGAACCCCGGCGAGGGGAGUGAAAAAGAACCUGAAACCGUGUACGUACAAGCAGUGGGAGCACCUUCGGGUGUGACUGCGUACCUUUUGUAUAAUGGGUCAGCGACUUAUAUUCUGUAGCAAGGUUAACCGUAUAGGGGAGCCGCAGGGAAACCGAGUCUUAACUGGGCGUUAAGUUGCAGGGUAUAGACCCGAAACCCGGUGAUCUAGCCAUGGGCAGGUUGAAGGUUGGGUAACACUAACUGGAGGACCGAACCGACUAAUGUUGAAAAAUUAGCGGAUGACUUGUGGCUGGGGGUGAAAGGCCAAUCAAACCGGGAGAUAGCUGGUUCUCCCCGAAAGCUAUUUAGGUAGCGCCUCGUGAAUUCAUCUUCGGGGGUAGAGCACUGUUUCGGCUAGGGGGUCAUCCCGACUUACCAACCCGAUGCAAACUACGAAUACCGAAGAAUGUUAUCACGGGAGACACACGGCGGGUGCUAACGUCCGUCGUGAAGAGGGAAACAACCCAGACCGCCAGCUAAGGUCCCAAAGUCAUGGUUAAGUGGGAAACGAUGUGGGAAGGCACAGACAGCCAGGAUGUUGGCUUAGAAGCAGCCAUCAUUUAAAGAAAGCGUAAUAGCUCACUGGUCGAGUCGGCCUGCGCGGAAGAUGUAACGGGGCUAAACCAUGCACCGAAGCUGCGGCAGCGACACUAUGUGUUGUUGGGUAGGGGAGCGUUCUGUAAGCCUGCGAAGGUGUGCUGUGAGGCAUGCUGGAGGUAUCAGAAGUGCGAAUGCUGACAUAAGUAACGAUAAAGCGGGUGAAAAGCCCGCUCGCCGGAAGACCAAGGGUUCCUGUCCAACGUUAAUCGGGGCAGGGUGAGUCGACCCCUAAGGCGAGGCCGAAAGGCGUAGUCGAUGGGAAACAGGUUAAUAUUCCUGUACUUGGUGUUACUGCGAAGGGGGGACGGAGAAGGCUAUGUUAGCCGGGCGACGGUUGUCCCGGUUUAAGCAUGUAGGCUGGUUGUCCAGGCAAAUCCGGAUAAUCAAGGCUGAGGUGUGAUGACGAGGCACUACGGUGCUGAAGUAACAAAUGCCCUGCUUCCAGGAAAAGCCUCUAAGCAUCAGGUAACAUCAAAUCGUACCCCAAACCGACACAGGUGGUCAGGUAGAGAAUACCAAGGCGCUUGAGAGAACUCGGGUGAAGGAACUAGGCAAAAUGGUGCCGUAACUUCGGGAGAAGGCACGCUGGUGUGUAGGUGAAGCCCCUGCGGGUGGAGCUGAGACCAGUCGAAGAUACCAGCUGGCUGCAACUGUUUAUUAAAAACACAGCACUGUGCAAACACGAAAGUGGACGUAUACGGUGUGACGCCUGCCCGGUGCCGGAAGGUUAAUUGAUGGGGUUAUCCGUAAGGAGAAGCUCUUGAUCGAAGCCCCGGUAAACGGCGGCCGUAACUAUAACGGUCCUAAGGUAGCGAAAUUCCUUGUCGGGUAAGUUCCGACCUGCACGAAUGGCGUAAUGAUGGCCAGGCUGUCUCCACCCGAGACUCAGUGAAAUUGAACUCGCUGUGAAGAUGCAGUGUACCCGCGGCAAGACGGAAAGACCCCGUGAACCUUUACUAUAGCUUGACACUGAACAUUGAGCCUUGAUGUGUAGGAUAGGUGGGAGGCUUUGAAGCGUGGACGCCAGUCUGCGUGGAGCCAACCUUGAAAUACCACCCUUUAAUGUUUGAUGUUCUAACGUUGGCCCCUGACCGGGGUUGCGGACAGUGUCUGGUGGGUAGUUUGACUGGGGCGGUCUCCUCCCAAAGCGUAACGGAGGAGCACGAAGGUUAGCUAAUCCUGGUCGGACAUCAGGAGGUUAGUGCAAUGGCAUAAGCUAGCUUGACUGCGAGCGUGACGGCGCGAGCAGGUGCGAAAGCAGGUCAUAGUGAUCCGGUGGUUCUGAAUGGAAGGGCCAUCGCUCAACGGAUAAAAGGUACUCCGGGGAUAACAGGCUGAUACCGCCCAAGAGUUCAUAUCGACGGCGGUGUUUGGCACCUCGAUGUCGGCUCAUCACAUCCUGGGGCUGAAGUAGGUCCCAAGGGUAUGGCUGUUCGCCAUUUAAAGUGGUACGCGAGCUGGGUUUAGAACGUCGUGAGACAGUUCGGUCCCUAUCUGCCGUGGGCGCUGGAGAAUUGAGGGGGGCUGCUCCUAGUACGAGAGGACCGGAGUGGACGCAUCACUGGUGUUCGGGUUGUCAUGCCAAUGGCACUGCCCGGUAGCUAAAUGCGGAAGAGAUAAGUGCUGAAAGCAUCUAAGCACGAAACUUGCCCCGAGAUGAGUUCUCCCUGAGACUUUAAGUCUCCUGAAGGAACGUUAAAGACGAUGACGUUGAUAGGCCGGGUGUGUAAGCGCAGCGAUGCGUUGAGCUAACCGGUACUAAUGAACCGUGAGGCUUAACCUUACAACGCCGAAG
Molecule: ribosomal RNA, 2923 nt
Filed under: Klebsiella pneumoniae
Lineage: Bacteria; Pseudomonadati; Pseudomonadota; Gammaproteobacteria; Enterobacterales; Enterobacteriaceae
Description: 23S ribosomal RNA
Rfam family: Bacterial large subunit ribosomal RNA
Source: RNAcentral